CACUGCGGCUUUUAAAUCCGAAGUCAUCUGACCCACUUAAAGCGAGCCACGCAGACUUAGAGGCGGCCGGUUCCCAGCCAAAACGGUCGGCUUCACGUGGAUCCUGAGCCGAAGGACUGCCGGAUCUCGAUUAAUUGCCCAGUAGGGCCGAGGUGGGUUCACAUUGCUCCUGCGCAUCCAAACACUACGGAAUGUGGGUCAAGGAUCAAGAGGCACGCGGAGGCCCGGGCAGUGGGGGGGGCAAGACGACACAUUUACACCAGUUGUUGCGUACGCUGUGAUAGGAAGCAAACAGCCGGCGAGCUCAGGCGUCGACGAGCAGACACUGGAAGCUCGCCAGACGUUCCGAAGUUGACUUUGCGGUCACGUGGCUGCGGUCCGGUCCAUUUCUUGUCCUUGAUUGGACGGCGAGACUUCUCUGACAACACGCCCCGCUAACAGCACUUCGCUGGGUUUUAUUUGACCGCUCGGGUUCACGAAAACAAUAUUACGAUACAGCAACUAAGUCAUAAUGGACACUGUGUAUCGGCUCUGGGAUACCGUAAGAUAUCUUAACCGAGGAAGCUGCUAAUAAAAUGUAGAUAUUGCUCCUUUGCACUCAGGAUGUAUGUCAAAUGUUUGAGUGUAUGUACAGUGUAUACACUGUAUGUACGAUUGCUGCACUCGGAACAAAGGUCUCAUGAAAUGUACAUGUUCCACGAUUUCCGGUUUUGACAGUAAUUCCCAUUGAAACGUAAAGUAAAAAAAAAAAGAUAUAUAUAGUCAGGCUUUACAGAAAGGCUUUAAGUAAAAAUAAAAAGUACAAAAAAAUACCACGUAUCAUGGCGUUGGCAGCCGUGGCCCAAUGGUUAAGGUCAUUACCUGCCACCGUCGGGGACCGAGGUUCAAGACCCCGACUGGACCAUCCGGCAACGUCCCCCGUACUCAUGGCUGUGGCGUCCUUGAGCAAAGAAAUUUCCUGUACAUGCGUACAUGCAUGUUCAUGACAGUAAAAGGUGAUUGUUGUUCUUUGAAAACCUUUCUCAAGCUUUUUUAAAAUGUAUUAUUUGUGGCCACAAGGUGGCGCCAGCUGGCCGGCGCGCGCCGACAUAGUGACUCCCGAGUUGCGUGUUGGUGGGAAAAUGGAGAACUUGUCGAUCGAUUUAGAAUUCCGGUCGCGGCGCACGAGGACGCCGACCGACCUCCUUAAUGUUGGUUGUCAAGGGUGGAAAGGUUUAUUUAAAUUUUUUUGGCUCAAUGUUGUGGAGCGUGCGACUAAAUGUGGCGCCCGGUCUCGGGUUGUCUUCCGUUUGCGACCAUUGCGUCGUGAGGUGCGGCGCUAAUUGGAGACAGGUGUGCGCCAGGGAGCUAUGACGCGUACGCGGGUGCGCUAAUUGCCACCAGCAUAAAAUGGGGAGCGACUCAGCUGCGUUUUGUCGCGUGAGCAAGCAAAUGUUUGCUGUUUGGGCAUGUUUGUCCAGUGGCGAUGUGCUUGUUGUCGGCUUUUGACUGGCAGAGCAGCAGCAGCAGCAGCAGCAGCAGCAGCAGCAGCAGCCGCAGCAGCGUUCAAGGAAAGGUUUGCGCAUGGGUUUGCUUGAGCACAGCACGUUCACACUUCACUUUGGGUUGAGCAUGUUUUAUUUUUGAAAUGCUGGCCAGCUCCUUUUGUGUAGUUAAUUGUUGUGUAUAUAUGAAUAAAUAAGUUUUGUGAAUAACUGUUUAGUGGUUUUGAGUUUGGAUGGCACCAAAACCCAGGUAAGAGAACUUUGCGCGCACACACACACACCAAUAAAAGUAUGUCAAAUGCUGUGAAAUAAGCCCAAAGGUUAAUGUAUAAUUUUGUUUUCCAAUCCUUCAUUGUCCUCUUCCCGACUAGCAGGUGCGGCGCAUGAUUGGACGAGGGUCAUGAGUACAGACACGUGCGCACAGGUGAGACCCAUCAGACAAGUAAUUGUAUGUUUUUGCAGGUUUAGCGUUGAACCCGGGGUCAACUACAGCAGGCUUGUUUUUGUUGUUGGAGGAGGAGGAGACAUUGGGGACAGGAGGCAGCAAGGAGAACCAGAACACUAGUGGAAGAGGAGCUGGAUGAAAGAGAAGAGUUCACAAGGACCUGGGAUGAGGAAAAGGAACAAUUCCAUACAUGAAAUGAAGACUGGAUACAAGUUGUCUUUGCAUAUAUUGUCUGCGGGGUGCAUGUAAACUGUGAACAGGAGGGGGCGGAGUACUGAGCUUUGCGGUUUGCCUCGGUUGACUGGCUACGGAAGGGUAGCGUGGUGGUAGGUCCGAUUGUAAUGAGGGCAGGCAUGGAAAGUGUCGGUAGAGUUGACUGUUGGACGUGGUGGUUUGGUUCAGUGGUUGUUGGGAAGGAAGGAAGGUCGAGAUGGUCCGCAAGUUGUUUGGCUUGUCUCGGUCCAGAGCAGCUCUUGGUUUUGAGUUGACUUGUACAGUGCAGGAUUUGAAUGAGGAAUUGAUCGUAUCGAUCAACACAAAACUGAAUACUCGUAAUUUGUUCAGGGUGGAGACCAAUAAUUGUUCACAACCGGCACGCAGUUCCAAGAUGAACAGUUGUUCUCCCUUUAGGAAAGUGUGCAAGUAAUGUGCAUUAUUGAUGACAACACAUUUGAAGGUGUUUCUUUUCCUAAUUUUAUAUUUUUUUUUGUUUGGCAGCAAUCCAGACUGAAAGUGGAAAUGCUGUGCUGCUUCAAGAGCCAAUUGGCAACUAUACAGGGGGAGUAUAUCUUAGUUACUUUGUCUACUUCCUUACUAACUCACUGGGUGUGCAUGGACUAACACUCAUUUGUGAUUUAGUAUUUGUGUACUGAGAUGUAUGAUGAGAUUAUAAAUGUUGAACUGCUGUUUAAUCUGUACUUUUGUACUUUUGUGGUUUUAAUCACUUAAAGUGCAUUGAAUUUUGUAUGAAAUGUGUUAUAUAAAAACAUUUAGCUUUGAAUGAGCAAUUUAUCAUAUUGAUCAACACAAAACUGAAUACUUGUAUUUUUUCAGGAUGAAGACCAACAAUUGUACACA
Long non-coding RNA from Phyllopteryx taeniolatus (common seadragon), 3006 nucleotides. RefSeq lists it as uncharacterized. The record is from RefSeq and is a predicted model, not a curated record. The transcript is spliced from 3 exons. Lineage: Eukaryota; Metazoa; Chordata; Actinopteri; Syngnathiformes; Syngnathidae.